CCUACGUGUGGCAGCAGUGGGGAAUAUUGGACAAUGGGCGAAAGCCUGAUCCAGCCAUGCCGCGUGUGUGAAGAAGGCCUUCGGGUUGUAAAGCACUUUCAGUGGGGAAGAAAGCCUUUGGGCUAAUACCCUCGAGGAAGGACAUCACCCACAGAAGAAGCACCGGCUAACUCCGUGCCAGCAGCCGCGGUAAUACGGAGGGUGCGAGCGUUAAUCGGAAUUACUGGGCGUAAAGCGUGCGUAGGCGGUCUGAUAAGCCGGUUGUGAAAGCCCCGGGCUCAACCUGGGAACGGCAUCCGGAACUGUCAGGCUAGAGUGCAGGAGAGGAAGGUAGAAUUCCCGGUGUAGCGGUGAAAUGCGUAGAGAUCGGGAGGAAUACCAGUGGCGAAGGCGGCCUUCUGGACUGACACUGACGCUGAGGUGCGAAAGCGUGGGUAGCAAACAGGAUUAGAUACCCUUGUAGUC
Molecule: ribosomal RNA, 465 nt
Filed under: Vreelandella stevensii
Lineage: Bacteria; Pseudomonadati; Pseudomonadota; Gammaproteobacteria; Oceanospirillales; Halomonadaceae
Description: partial 16S ribosomal RNA
Rfam family: Bacterial small subunit ribosomal RNA
Source: RNAcentral